UCCCUGGAGGACUAAUGAUUAGGCCACAGCGUUCUCACUGCUGCCGCCUGGGUUCGAUUCCCAGCCAGGGCU
Non-coding RNA from Pangasius djambal, 72 nucleotides. The record is from the annotation of a GenBank genome assembly. NCBI's taxonomy places the organism in Eukaryota, Metazoa, Chordata, Actinopteri, Siluriformes, Pangasiidae.